Molecule: transfer RNA, 148 nt
Filed under: Macrophomina phaseolina MS6
Lineage: Eukaryota; Fungi; Ascomycota; Dothideomycetes; Botryosphaeriales; Botryosphaeriaceae
Description: tRNA-Lys
Source: RNAcentral
GCCCGGCUGGCGCAAUUGGUUAGCGCAUACGGCUUUUACUAGUGCAAUCUUGCACGGUCCACCGUGGGGUUCAGAGGUAAGCCACUGCAUGACUUGCUGCGUCAAACCAUUCCACUAACAUGCGAAAGUUCGAAUCUCUGGUCGGGCG